AAGCAUCAUCUGAGAGAGUUUUGAAAAGGUUACUACUGCGCUUGCAGCAGCCCUCCACUUUCAUUGACGGAUUGUUUAUUGGAUAUGAAAGCUUAAGGGGAUUAGGAGAAUCAUGCUCAAAAAUAUUUGAAAAAUUAUGUCUGAUUUUUUUCUCAUCAAGUUCAUAGGAGGUUGCUAUUUGCAAGAUCACAACCAUCCAAUCCCAUAGGAAACCAUCAUUUGAGAAAGGAUUUACAGCCUUAUAUGAUCUUUAGAAAAAAUUGAUGCAGCAAGAUAGUGAAUGAAAUAUAGAGAAAAAAGAGAAAAAAAAAAUUAGUUCACCAUUUUGAUAGGUUUCAGAUCAAAAUAAAAAAUUUAGCACUUAUCUUUCCUCAGUUCCUUGCCUGCAGAAUGCUCAUAGCACCACCAUUCUCAAUUCUUUGUAUCAUCCAAAAAAUUAACUGAACACCAAAAAAACAACAAUCAAAAAAAAAUUUAAAAAAAAUAUUUAGAAAAGAUGCUAUCAAACUCAUCUUUCUUUCAAAGGAUGGAAGGGCUUAGUUUCAUCGCCCACCCUCUUGCUUGCCCAUGGUGCCCCUGCCACCAUCCCCCCAACCGAGGGAGAUAGAAAUUCGAAGGGAGGAGNNNNNNNNNNNNNNNNNNNNCCGAUUGACACUCCCACAAAUAGAAAAAGUACAUCAAAAAUUAGAAAAAGAUAGAAAAAAUCAAUGAAAACAAAGAAAAGGUGGAAAAUUUAAAAGAUCAGACCUUUUCAUGUAUAGGCUGUUCGAAUUUUUCUUUUUCAAUAAUGAAGACCCAUGGGAGAUAAUGGCGAGGAAAGCAGGAGAGAAUGUGUUUAGGACAGCCUCUCAUCAAUUUUAUAGUCUAAAAGCAUCAUCUGAGAGAGUUUUGAAAAGGUUGCUACUGCGCUUACAGCAGUCCUCCACUUUCAUUGACGGAUUAUUUAAUGGAUAUGAAAGCUUAAGGGGAUUAGGAGAAUCAUGCUCAAAAAUAUUUGAAAAAUUAUGUCUGAUUUUUUUCUCGUCAGGUUCAUAGGAGGUUGCUAUUUGUAAGAUCACAACCAUCCAAUCCCAUAGGAAACCAUCAUUUGAGAAAGGAUUUAUAGCCUUAUAUGAUCUUUAGGAAAUAUUGAUGCAGCAAGAUAGUGAAUGAAAUAUAGAGAAAAAAGAGAAAAAAAAAUCAGUUCACCAUUUUGAUAGGUUUCAGAUCAAAAUAAAAAAUUUAACACUUAUCUUUCCUCAAUUCCUUGCCUGCCGAAUGCUCAGGGCACCACCAUUCUCAAUUUUUUGUAUCAUCCAAAAAAUUAACUGAACACCAAAAAAACAACAAUCAAAAAAAAAUAAAAAAAAUAUUUAGAAAAGAUACUAUCAAACUCACCUUUCUUUCGAUGGAUGGAAGGGCUUAGUUUCACCGCCCACCCUCUUGCUUGCCCAUGGUGCCCCUGCCACCAUCCCCCCUAACCGAGGGAGAUAGAAAUUCGAAGGGAGGGG
Molecule: long non-coding RNA, 1490 nt
Filed under: Elaeis guineensis (African oil palm)
Lineage: Eukaryota; Viridiplantae; Streptophyta; Magnoliopsida; Arecales; Arecaceae
Description: long non-coding RNA (EGUI_LNC011291)
Source: RNAcentral